Long non-coding RNA from Bufo bufo (common toad), 144 nucleotides. RefSeq lists it as uncharacterized. The record is from RefSeq and is a predicted model, not a curated record. The transcript is spliced from 3 exons. Lineage: Eukaryota; Metazoa; Chordata; Amphibia; Anura; Bufonidae.
AGCUCCCAUUUUAUAGUAGGCAAAAGCACCAUGCCCAUUCUCUUCAAUAAUUCCCCUACAUAUUCACACAAUACAAAAAAGCGAUUGUUCUGUUGUAACACAAUACAUGACAUGGUAAUGCGUUCAAGGUUUCCAACUGGGGAA